AAGGGCCUCUCUCAUCGCCCCUCAACCUUAGCAGAUUAGUCUCUCUUAGCCAGUUCGAGUUACAUAUAAGAAAACUUUAUUAAAAUUUAUAAAAUAAUUUUUUUUUUUUUUCGAUUGUUGUUCGAGAUUAUCCGGUUUAAAUAGUAUCGGAAGAGAUAAAGGAAACAAAAUAAGAAUAGGUAAGGUGAGAAACGAGAAGGCGUAUCUGUUUUUCUUUUUUUUUUCCAAUAUCGGUGGCGCCUGACAACACUUAAUAUUUUGGCUAGAAAUGUCUGGUGACGUCAGCCCACUUCCAGGAUUUUCAAGGACGAUGACGUCACCUAGUUUUUAUCGUCCAAUGCGUGGCCGAUGACGACCACGUCUAGCGACACAGAGAUUUGGCAGCUGGCCUACAUUCGAAAUCUAGUAGAUAGAGAGAAUUUCUGGAGAAAGGUUGAACGACCGUUGUCACACGAGAUAUACAGUCGAAUAAAACGUACGGGGCCAAACAUACGAGAUAGGAAACAGAAAUUGCGACCCACUGAUGAUGACAGAAGAAGAAAAAAAUUUUUUAGGUUGGAUGGACAAAGCGAAUAGUCAUAAAUGCUGUAUGCCUCAUUCGAACGCAAAUCAUGGCUUUAUUUAUGUUUAAUCUGAUGCCAUUCAAGUACUGACAGAUGUGGGCAGAUAACCUAGUUGUCAUGUGCAGGUGUUUCGAGAACUAAGUAAAAUAUAACCAGCUGUGACCUUGCCUGUAAGGAUAGUUGAAUAAUCUCGAAAAGAACAGAAGAAACCUACAUAUCACAUACAUAUACAGUAUAUAUAUAUAUAUUUAAAAAUACGUCUAUAACUAGAAAUUCCAUUUUGGAACGAAACAUUAUUAUUUAUUCAGAACCGAGUAUUUUUAAAGCGAAACACAAAAAUGCUGGCGACAUUUUUCGCAUAUUAAUGUUUCUAUAAAUUAAUGCCUGGCAAAACUUGGAAAUGCAGGUUUGCGUAAGUCGCGGAAUAUAUACAGUAGGUGUAAUUCCUGUUCGUGUGCAUCGGUGUUGCGUCGUAUUAUUGUUGUUAUAUAAAAAUUGGGCGGUAUGACAGAAACGAGUGUGACCGUAGAUGGAAAUAAAUUUUAUUUUAUUUUGAAACAUAGGCAGGUUUUAUUCAAAAAAAAAACUUUUCUUAGUUCCCGCCCUAAAUUUCUACGUAUCGUUAUCGACUUGUAAAUGUUAUCGGAUACGUUUGACUUCUCAUUUCUAAGUAAUUUGUUUGUCGAAAUCGUAUCGAAGAAUAAGAGAAAAUGUUAAAAUUAGUAUGGCGCAGAGAGAUAUACAAAAGCGAUGUAUAUCGACGAGAAAAAUGGCGUUUUAAAUUUAACAACGUAUCGAAUGAAGCAAUCUCGUAUCUAAAGCCGGAAUUUGAUACGAGGCGACUGUUGAUAACUAUUUUUAAAUUGUUUGCUAAUCAAUAUAUAUAUAUACACGGUUUAGAAAAAAAUUUCUGUUGACAAAUGCAAUAAUUUUAUUAAUUUUUCAGAAUUAAAAAAAAAAAAUGCUUAUUUAUUUAUAAGCGAUUUAUCUGACUAGUUUAAGCUUUAUAUGUAUAAAAAUUCUUCAUCGAUUGA
RNAcentral lists this long non-coding RNA (1597 nucleotides) under Androctonus crassicauda. Lineage: Eukaryota; Metazoa; Arthropoda; Arachnida; Scorpiones; Buthidae. The record is from RNAcentral.